Non-coding RNA from Acanthosepion pharaonis, 113 nucleotides. Lineage: Eukaryota; Metazoa; Mollusca; Cephalopoda; Sepiida; Sepiidae. The record is from the annotation of a GenBank genome assembly.
UAUGGCCACAUCACAUUGAAACACCAGAUCCCAUAUAAUCACUGAAGUUAAGCAGCAUCAAGCCUAGUCAGUACCUAGAUGGAUGACCGCUUGAGAAUACCUGGUACUGUAAG